RNA transcript from Octopus bimaculoides (California two-spot octopus), 1385 nucleotides. It is a transcript of the gene named sialin pseudogene, with no coding region annotated. NCBI's taxonomy places the organism in Eukaryota, Metazoa, Mollusca, Cephalopoda, Octopoda, Octopodidae. The record is from RefSeq and is a predicted model, not a curated record.
AUGGUAAGUAGCUUGCUUCCCAGCCAUGUGGUUCCGGGUUCAGUUCCACUGCGUGGCACCUUGGGCAAGUGUCUUCUGCUAUAGCUUCGGAUCGACGAAAGCCUUGUGAGUGGAUUUGGUAGACGGAAACUGAAAGAAGCCCGACGUAAUUAGUGACCAGACAUAGGCUAUUUGGAUGCAAUAAGAAUAUACUGACAGGAAAAUAUUAAUUCAUCCAACACACGUAUCCACAUCAAGAAUCUUGCACACGAAAUACACAUACGAAAUAAAAUAUUAAUUAUUUUACAUUCAAGAUUUGCAGAGAUGUUGCUUUCAGGAUUAUGACGUCACACGUCAUAACGCCGGUUGUCAAUAGUUGCAGAAAUACGCAAAAGGAUUGUAAAACUAGAAUGCUCUGCUAUUUCACUGGGUGUUGAUGUGCUGUAUGUUCUGUGCAGGAAGUGUACUUUGUGCGUUGUGCUUUUCAAUAGAAAGUCCCUUGACUAGGAGGAUGUGGGUUGUAUCUAGAACCGAUGCUUUUGGACUGUGUAGAAUUGUAAACCCAAGCAUCCAGGUAAAUAGCAUUAUGAUGUACCUCGUCCAGCAAAGAUGCUAUAUUCUCAAUGCAGAUUACUGAAUAUAUACAAGGUACAUUCCAGGCGCUUUGAAACUUUUUCAGGUUACCAACAUUCCACGCUAUGCUUUACAGAGAAUAUAACAAUUUGCGCUGUUAAAUUGAAUCCCAUGGAAAUAGAUGAACAUUUUGACCAAUCAAAUCAUAUAUCGUCAAACCAGUCUGUCAAAUUACGUAUCAGAAACGUGGAUUUUACAUACCAUCCGAUAAAAAAAAUCGAUCAGGAAGCAGUCUCACAGAGCUUACCGAAUACUAUUUUUUUCAAUGAAAUCACAGAGAGCAGACGACCAUCGCUGGAAAAUAUUUGGCUGAAACAACUCAAAAGCCAUUAUUUAAAAAUCACACGAAUCGUAUAUUACACACGCAAUCAAACACACACUCACGAACACACACGCACACACACAGACACAUAUAUACACAUAUAUACACACACAGACACAUAUAUACACACAUACACACACACACAUAUACACGUACAUAAAUACGUAAUACAUUUGAGCAUAAUUUUGAAAUGUCAAAAAUUACCAGGUGCAUUAAACAAUACUCAUCGUGUCGUUGGAGGUUAUGCUAUACUUGUUUAGCAGCUGUUCUCCUCUUAACAGCAUUACGAGUUGACAUUAGCAUUGCUUUUGCUUGUAUGCUGAAAACAACCAACAGUUCAUUUCAAGAAGUUAAUCAUACUGGAAUAAAGGAAGAAUGUCCAGGGUCGGAGAAUCAGUUACCAGAUAAAACAUUUGAAGGCGAGUUCGAAUGGAGUAACUCUUUACAGUCC